RNAcentral lists this long non-coding RNA (318 nucleotides) under Rhagoletis pomonella (apple maggot). Its description in RNAcentral is "uncharacterized LOC118745133". Lineage: Eukaryota; Metazoa; Arthropoda; Insecta; Diptera; Tephritidae. The record is from RNAcentral.
UGUUCUUAUUCGCUGACAUUUGUUUUCCAAUUGCGUGAAAUUUGGUCAUUUCCUUAGUGUUUCGCUGACCGACCUGUGCUGGUAUUGUGAUUAAGAGCUAAUACACAUUUUUCGGACGAUUUUGCUGUGCUGCGUUCCUGCUCCGCCUGUAUAUUGCUCCGCCCGUAUUUUAUAGUGUUGCGUUCCUGUUGCGCCUUUGCAUUAGUGUGUGCGUUGUGAUUUAGACACGUUGAAAUUUUUUGUAUGCUUCUGCUGUGCUGCGUUCCUGCUCCACCCGUGUAUUAGAUUGCUGCGUUCCUGUUAACAUACAUAUCGUCG